Molecule: ribosomal RNA, 484 nt
Filed under: uncultured bacterium
Lineage: Bacteria
Description: partial 16S ribosomal RNA
Rfam family: Bacterial small subunit ribosomal RNA
Source: RNAcentral
AUUGAACGCUGGCGGCAGGCCUAACACAUGCAAGUCGAGCGGAUGAAGGGAGCUUGCUCCUGGAUUCAGCGGCGGACGGGUGAGUAAUGCCUAGGAAUCUGCCUGGUAGUGGGGGAUAACGUCCGGAAACGGGCGCUAAUACCGCAUACGUCCUGAGGGAGAAAGUGGGGGAUCUUCGGACCUCACGCUAUCGGAUGAGCCUAGGCCGGAUUAGCUAGUUGGUGGGAUAAAGGCCUACCAAGGCGACGAUCCGUAACUGGUCUGAGAGGAUGAUCAGUCACACUGGAACUGAGACACGGUCCAGACUCCUACGGGAGGCAGCAGUGGGGAAUAUUGGACGAUGGGCGAAAGCCUGAUCCAGCCAUGCCGCGUGUGUGAAGAAGGUCUUCGGAUUGUAAAGCACUUUAAGUUGGGAGGAAGGGCAGUAAGUUAAUACCUUGCUGUUUUGACGUUACCAACAGAAUAAGCACCGGCUAACUUCGUG